This 72-nucleotide transfer RNA is filed under the name bacterium. Its description in RNAcentral is "tRNA-Lys". It matches the Rfam family "tRNA". Rfam says of the family: Transfer RNA (tRNA) molecules are approximately 80 nucleotides in length. Their secondary structure includes four short double-helical elements and three loops (D, anti-codon, and T loops). The record is from RNAcentral.
GGGCCAGUAGCUCAAUGGUAGAGCAGUACCCUCUUAAGGUAUUGGUUGGGGGUUCGACUCCCUCCUGGCUCA